RNAcentral lists this unclassified non-coding RNA (2618 nucleotides) under Hevea brasiliensis (rubber tree). Lineage: Eukaryota; Viridiplantae; Streptophyta; Magnoliopsida; Malpighiales; Euphorbiaceae. The record is from RNAcentral.
UCUCUCUCUGUCUCUCUCUCUCUUUCUAGCCCUUUUCCCAUUCAUUUCCCUUACAUAACUGACUUACCAAGCAAAGAAGCCUGAGAACAGGUAUAGCAUACAGCCAUGGUACAAUUCCAUUUGUCAUGAAGUUUAUUUUUCUUGCACACUACCCUUCUCUUUUUUUACCGUACUCUCUUUUUAUUUCUCCAUCGGAACUUGAUCAUCAACGCCUGCAGAAACCAUACCCAGAUUCCAAAAUCAUAUCUUUUUAGUUCAAAUGUCGAAGAACCCAUCUCCACAAGACCAUGAAACCGUGCAAUUCUCUGAAAUUUUUAAGAAAUUCAAGCGUUUGAGACUUUUUGAGCCGUCUGUAGGGGUUUUGGGGUUCUUUUUGGUUACAGUUUGUGUGAUUUGUUGCUUCUUUUACUUAGAUUUCAGGUCUGUAAUUAAUAAGGUGUAUAGAGUUCCAGGUAAAUCAGAGAGGUUUAUGUGGCUGCAGAUUAAUGGGUCGGGUCCAAAUAGAAGAUUUGAGUUUUUGGGACAGGAGGGUGAUGGGUGUGAUGUGUUUGAUGGGGAGUGGGUGUGGGAUGAGAGUUAUCCAUUGUAUCACUCUAAAGAUUGCAGCUUCUUGGAUGAGGGGUUCAGGUGCACCGAAAAUGGCAGGCCUGAUUUGUUCUACACCAAAUGGAGAUGGCAACCAAAGCACUGCAACUUGCCCAGAUUUGAUGCUAAAACGAUGUUGGAGAAACUGCGCAACAAACGGCUAGUGUUUGCUGGAGAUUCAAUUGGAAGGAAUCAAUGGGAGUCCCUUAUGUGUAUGCUGUCUUCUGCAGUUCCUAAUGAGGACUCCAUCUACGAAGUGAAUGGCAGUCCAAUUACCAAGCAUAAAGGAUUUUUGGUUUUCAAGUUUCAGGAUUAUAAUUGCACUGUGGAGUACUAUAGGUCUCCAUUUCUUGUAUUGCAGAGUCGGCCUCCUGCUGGUGUUCCAGGAAAUGUUAGAUUAACCCUAAAAUUGGAUCAAAUGGAUUGGAACUCUGGCAAGUGGAGAGAUGCCGACAUACUGGUCCUCAACAUGGGGCACUGGUGGAAUUAUGAGAAAACCAUAAGAGGGUAAAAUGAUCCUGUUAUUCUUGUAGUUGUAGACUUGCAACCUUUCAUUUAUGUUGUAUGAGCUUUUACUUAUCUAGUUUUGUUAUUUACAACAUUUCAUUGAAGAAAACUACUUAGACAUAGGUAACUGUCAAAUAAGAAUUUGAAUUCGAUUAGAUCAAGAUGUUAAUGUUUAAAAAGAAAGUGAAAACCAAUUAUUUGAUUAAUUUUUUAUGCUAUUUUAUUGUGAGUGGAGACUAGCAUGAUCAGUUGCUUCCUGUGAGGAAUCCUAGAAUGGAAAAAAUCUAUUUCAUGGCUGAUAAAUGACUAUUAUGUAAUAGAUUUGGAUCAAUCAAGGCCAACAUGGACCAUGGAGGUGAUACUGCAACACCUAUAUUUGUUGUUGGUGGGUACUUAUAUUCUUUUCAAAUGAUGAUUGAAGAAAAAUGGACCAUGGAGGUCAUUUUAAUUCAGAUUUUGAUAAGAUUUGCUUAUAUCUGUGUUCAAUCAGUGAAUAGUGAUGUGACCUUUUUGUCUUAAUCUUUUGAAUAUACAAGGGAAAUAAUUGGCUUGAAGGAUAAGGCCAAUUGUGAAUAAUUUCAAUUGACUGUCCUUAAUUUUCAAUUUAUUGCUCAGAGGUACCUACUUUCAAGAGGGGACAGAGGUGAAAUUGGAAAUGAGGGUCGAACAAGCAUACCACAGGUCAAUUGAGACUGUCUUUCAGUGGAUACAGAAUCAAGUGAAUACAAGCAAGACCCAAGUUUUCUUCCGCACAUUUGCCCCUGUGCAUUUCAGAGGCGGAGACUGGAGGACAGGGGGAAGCUGUCACUUGGAGACAUUGCCUGAGCUUGGUUCAUCAUUGGUGCCAUCUGAAACCUGGGCUCAAUACAAAAUAUUUGCUGAUGUGCUAUCAGCUUACUCAAACCAAGAAUUAAAAUUUGAUAUAUUGAAUAUAACCAGGAUGUCUGCACAAAGAAAAGAUGGGCAUUCAUCUGUAUACUAUCAUCAUUCACAACCUGCGCCAUUUCAUCGACAAGACUGCAGCCAUUGGUGCCUGCCUGGGGUCCCUGACUCAUGGAAUGAGCUCCUCUAUGCACUGCUAUUAAAGCACAAACCUAUGAAGACGUACAACAUAUCCUCAUAUAGAGCAUACAGUUUUGAUUAAGAUAAAGCUUUGAUUUAUAUGCCAUUGCCAACACUAAAGCCAGGAGCUAGAUGCUUAGAAAUGACUCCAAUUUUCCUGCAGUAGAUAGAAGAUAAGAACAUGCACAGUGAAUUUUGUUAUAGUUUGGCAGAAAAGUUAAAAAACAGAUACUGUACUGUGGAUUUUGAUAGUGAGAUUAAAGAUAUGAGCUGAGUGGAUAUUUGUGCUGGAUUUUGGCUGAAGAUUUUGGGAAUAAAAUGACUAAAUUGUAGAGAUAUAUUCAAGAAUAGGGUUGUUGUGAUUACAAUCAAGUGGUGUAAUUUCAUUGAGGGAAAUGUAAUUAACAAUUCUUUGUCUGUCAAUGCCAAUAAUAAUAAGAGAAGGGUGUGGAUAUGAAAAUGGA